This 468-nucleotide ribosomal RNA is filed under the name uncultured bacterium. Its description in RNAcentral is "partial 16S ribosomal RNA". It matches the Rfam family "Bacterial small subunit ribosomal RNA", at positions 28 to 507 of the family's 1533-position model. The record is from RNAcentral.
GACGAACGCUGGCGGCGUGCUUAACACAUGCAAGUCGAACGGAAAGGCCCUGCUUUUGUGGGGUGCUCGAGUGGCGAACGGGUGAGUAACACGUGAGCAACCUGCCCUUGACUUUGGGAUAACUUCAGGAAACUGGGGCUAAUACCGGAUAGGAGCUCCUGCUGCAUGGUGGGGGUUGGAAAGUUUCGGCGGUUGGGGAUGGACUCGCGGCUUAUCAGCUUGUUGGUGGGGUAGUGGCUUACCAAGGCUUUGACGGGUAGCCGGCCUGAGAGGGUGACCGGCCACAUUGGGACUGAGAUAUGGCCCAGACUCCUACGGGAGGCAGCAGUGGGGAAUAUUGCACAAUGGGCGGAAGCCUGAUGCAGCAACGCCGCGUGCGGGAUGACAGCCUUCGGGUUGUAAACCGCUUUCGCCUGUGACGAAGCGUGAGUGACGGUAAUGGGUAAAGAAGCACCGGCUAACUACGUG